UAAUACGGAGGGGGCUAGCGUUGUUCGGAAUUACUGGGCGUAAAGCGCACGUAGGCGGCUAUCCAAGUUGGGGGUGAAAUCCCUGGGCUUAACCCAGGAACUGCCUUCAAAACUGGAUGGCUAGAGUCCGAGAGAGGUGAGUGGAAUUUCCAGUGUAGAGGUGAAAUUCGUAGAUAUUGGAAAGAACACCAGUGGCGAAGGCGGCUCACUGGCUCGGUACUGACGCUGAGGUGCGACAGCGUGGGGAGCAAACAGG
Molecule: ribosomal RNA, 256 nt
Filed under: uncultured archaeon
Lineage: Archaea
Description: partial 16S ribosomal RNA
Rfam family: Bacterial small subunit ribosomal RNA
Source: RNAcentral